CCCUCCCAUAUUUUAUUGUUGGUGGGGUUCCCCCUCCGCUCCGGAGGAGGGAAUAGAGGUUGGUUUAGCAUGGUGAAGCACUAUUAUAUUUUCCCCUUUGACCUUUCCAUGAUUGACUUUCCCGAGACUUAUUAUAUAAUUGUCUCGGUACUUUUCAACCAAGGCCAGGCUAAGAAACUUGCAAAUUAAGAAAGUGAUGACAAUGAAUGAUCACUUUCCACCCUAACUGCUAGACCA
This 237-nucleotide long non-coding RNA is filed under the name Elaeis guineensis (African oil palm). Its description in RNAcentral is "long non-coding RNA (EGUI_LNC021018)". The record is from RNAcentral. Lineage: Eukaryota; Viridiplantae; Streptophyta; Magnoliopsida; Arecales; Arecaceae.